UAGGGAAUCUUCCGCAAUGGACGAAAGUCUGACGGAGCAACGCCGCGUGAGUGAAGAAGGAUUUCGGUUCGUAAAACUCUGUUGUUAGGGAAGAAAAAAUGUAUAGUAACUAUAUACAAAAGAGACGGUACCUAACCAGAAAGCCACGGCUAACUACGUGCCAGCAGCCGCGGUAAUACGUAGGUGGCAAGCGUUGUCCGGAAUUAUUGGGCGUAAAGCGCGCGCAGGUGGUUUAGAAAGUCUGAUGUGAAAGCCCACGGCUCAACCGUGGAGGGUCAUUGGAAACUAAUAAACUUGAGUGCAGGAGAGAAAAGUGGAAUUCCUAGUGUAGCGGUGAAAUGCGUAGAGAUUAGGAGGAACAUCGGUGGCGAAAGCGGCUUUUUGGCCUGCAACUGACACUGAGGCGCGAAAGCGUGGGGAGCAAACAGG
This 429-nucleotide ribosomal RNA is filed under the name Verrucomicrobiota bacterium. RNAcentral's name for it is "Verrucomicrobia bacterium partial 16S ribosomal RNA". It matches the Rfam family "Bacterial small subunit ribosomal RNA", at positions 355 to 776 of the family's 1533-position model. The record is from RNAcentral. Lineage: Bacteria; Pseudomonadati; Verrucomicrobiota.